This 1479-nucleotide ribosomal RNA is filed under the name Pseudomonas aeruginosa. RNAcentral's name for it is "bacterial SSU rRNA". It matches the Rfam family "Bacterial small subunit ribosomal RNA". Lineage: Bacteria; Pseudomonadati; Pseudomonadota; Gammaproteobacteria; Pseudomonadales; Pseudomonadaceae. The record is from RNAcentral.
GAGUUUGAUCAUGGCUCAGACUGGCGGCAGGCCUAACACAUGCAAGUCGAGCGGAUGAAGGGAGCUUGCUCCUGGAUUCAGCGGCGGACGGGUGAGUAAUGCCUAGGAAUCUGCCUGGUAGUGGGGGAUAACGUCCGGAAACGGGCGCUAAUACCGCAUACGUCCUGAGGGAGAAAGUACGGGGGAUCUUCGGACCUCACGCUAUCAGAUGAGCCUAGGUCGGAUUAGCUAGUUGGUGGGGUAAAGGACCAAGGCGACGAUCCGUAACUGGUCUGAGAGGAUGAUCAGUCACACUGGAACUGAGACACGGUCCAGACUCCUACGGGAGUUGCAGCAGUGGGGAAUAUUGGACAAUGGGCGAAAGCCUGAUCCAGCCAUGCCGCGUGUGUGAAGAAGGUCUUCGGAUUGUAAAGCACUUUAAGUUGGGAGGAAGGGCAGUAAGUUAAUACCUUGCUGUUUUGACGUUACCAACAGAAGCACCGGCUAACUUCGUGCCAGCAGCCGCGGUAAUACGAAGGGUGCAAGCGUUAAUCGGAAUUACUGGGCGUAAAGCCACGCGCGUAGGUGGUUCAGCAAGUUGGAUGUGAAAUCCCCGGGCUCAACCUGGGAACUGCAUCCAAAACUACUGAGCUAGAGUACGGUAGAGGGUGGUGGAAUUUCCUGUGUAGCGGUGAAAUGCGUAGAUAUAGGAAGGAACACCAGCGAAGGCGACCACCUGGACUGAUACUGACACUGAGGUGCGAAAGCGUGGGGAGCAAACAGGAUUAGAUACCCUGGUUGUAGUCCACGCCGUAAACGAUGUCGACUAGCCGUUGGGAUCCUUGAGAUCUUAGUGGCGCAGCUAACGCGAUAAGUCGACCGCCUGGGGAGUACGGCCGCAAGGUUAAAACUCAAAUGAAUUGACGGGGGCCCGCACAAGCGGUGGAGCAUGUUUAAUUCGAAGCAACGCGAAGAACCUUACCUGGCCUUGACAUGCUGAGAACUUUCCAGAGAUGGAUUGGUGCCUUCGGGAACUCAGACACAGGUGCUGCAUGGCUGUCGCAGCCGUGUCGUGAGAUGUUGGGUUAAGUCCCGUAACGAGCGCAACCCUUGUCCUUAGUUACCAGCACCUCGGGUGGGCACUCUAAGGAGACUGCCGGUGACAAACCGGACCUGAGGAAUGGGGAUGACGUCAAGUCAUCAUGGCCCUUACGGCCAGGGCUACACACGUGCUACAAUGGUCGGUNNACAAAGGGUUGCCAAGCCGCGAGGUGGAGCUAAUCCCAUAAAACCGAUCGUAGUCCGGAUCGCAGUCUGCAACUCGACUGCGUGAUCGGAAUCGCUAGUAAUCGUGAAUCAGAAUGUCACGGUGAAUACGUUCCCGGGCCUUGUACACACCGCCCGUCACACCAUGGGAGUGGGUUGCUCCAGAAGUAGCUAGUCUAACCGCAAGGGGGACGGUUACCACGGAGUGAUUCAUGACGGGUGAAGUCGUAACAG